GAUUACACAGUACCGCAACAGGUUUCCGUAAUAUAUUCAUGUCUCCCUUAUUUGACUCUAGAUAUUAUUAUUUAGUUGUUUUUCUUCGACACACGUGUUUUUGUUUUUUCAUUGAAAAAUGUCAGACCUAGAUUCUUCCGAUUCAGAGAGUGUAGAUUCUGAUACUCAGGUAAAUUUCAGCUGUAUAUAACAAAUGACGACAGUAAAAGUUUAGGGGAAGUCUGCUAUUCGACUGUCGUUUUCAAGAGGUUUCAUCAGACAUCAGUUCAUCAUCCCAGGUUGGUUCACAGGGGUUUGUUACAAUUGCCGGGUUUACUAAUACUAUCCAUACGAACCCCUUUUUUAGAAGUUCGUAUGGAUAGUAAACCUGGCAGUUGUAACAAACCCCUGUGGUUGGUUCUAACACGUACAACUUAUUUGAGCUUAUGUAGCUUGCUUUUCACAUUUGACAGGUUGGGAACAAACCCUCUAUAUGGUGAUUAUACCUGUAUAGAGGGAUAAUCCUUCUAUAGAGGGGUAUUUUUGUUUAGACUGGAUUUAUAUCAAAAUAGGGCAGAAUGGCAUUCUCUACUUAUUAUGGCAGUAACCUGGAACAGUUGAUGCACCAAUUGAUGUAUUUAAUUUAAUAUGCACAUGCCCAGUUUGAUGCUUAUCCGACUAAAUAUAAAAUCUAUUGUUCACCAUGAUUGAAAGCUGUGAUGAUCAGGAAAAUUCUACUCACUUAUGCCUCACUGAACAGAAUUUCUAUUGUUAGAUUAGUCCGAGAUUACUCUGAUGUCCAACGGCUGUUUUGACAGACAAGCUGGGGCCGUGGGACGUCAGAGCUCGUCCAUAUCAAAAAGUGAUAUUUGCCACCCAAAUAAUGCGAUCUUGUCGCUUCUGGUGCCGACUGACGGCUGAAUUAUAUAAAUCGGCAUCAAUCUGUUCAUUUUCAUUAUUCUUCAUUUAUGUAAGUUUCACUUACUGCCAACAAUUUAUUUUCUCAUUAUUAGACAUUUUCACAGUGACCAUAGAUUUCGCAUUUUGACUUUCACUUCAAAUGGGUCAAGUUACGAGAGAGUUCAUGUUCGAGACUCAAAAUAUGCAAAUAUUUUAUUUUUUCACCUCUUUAUAGGUGAUGAUGUUAAACAUUACAAGAACCAUGAUUUUUCACCCCUUUACAGAUGGAUGAAGCAUUUAGUUCCGACACGUUACAAUCGAAGCUCUCGGACAUUAGAAACUUCAUCGUAAUGACAGUGUUAAUUAUGGUCAAUUUGCAUAAAUAUCACUGUUUUCUCUGGUCAUGUGAUAAUCUUGAAAAUGAAAGGCAAAAUGCCGAAAUCAAUGGUCACUGUGAAAAACGUCUAAUGAUGAGAAAAUAAAGGUGCAGUAGGUGAAACUUACAUAAAUGAAGAGAUAAAUGAAAAUGAACAGAUUAUGCCCAUUAUUAAUUCCAAGGCCAUCAGUCGCACCAGAAGGACAAAGCAGCGCACUAUUUUGGUGGGCAAAUACCACUUUUUGAUAUGGACGAGCUUGACGUCCACGGCCCGCUUGUCUGCAAAACAGCCGUGACGUCAGAGUAAUCUCGACUAUUGUUAGAUUUAACAUGAAAUUUAAGGUCAACUAUUCCUUUGUUGUUGAUCAGGGUUCAGAUAGGUCUACAAUAGAUCAAGUUUGUCACUUUAGCAGAAAAUGUAUCCCAGUUUUUAAGUAAGUGCAUAUUUGAUGUAUAAUGCUAGAUUAUAGCCAAUAUAACUAGAAAAUGCCGUCUGCCCCAAUUGCUUUAAAUCCAGUGCAAAACAAAAAACCCCUCAUAGAGGAAAUUUUAUCCUCUAAAGACGGAUUAUCCCUGUAUACAGGUAUAAUCACCAUACAGGGGGUUUGUUCCCAACCUGUUUGAAGUUACAUGUAGACUGAGCUAUUAAAAUCUAUCCAAGUUUCUGCAUUAGUAAUUGGAGUAUCCUUGUAAGACCAAUAACAGACUCACUCAGAAUAUGCCAGUGCAGUAUCAUGUAUGGGAUGGUAUCGGGUCUGUCAUUUAUUUUUAUUUCAUAAAUAAUUUAACUGAAUACAAUUAUUUUGUUAACACAUAUCAAUAAAGAUAAAUGCAUUGUAUAUAUAUAUAUUCUACUAUGCAAAUCAAAGGGAAAAUAGUAAAUUGGUUGCGGCAAUACAAAUAUUCAGUCAAUUUUUCAACAAACUUUAACAUUUUCUGUUCAACUAAUAAACAUAAUGCAACUUGACAAUAAUUACAAAAAAAAAUAAAAAUCAGGGCGAAUAGACUCUGGGUGAACAGAUAUCACGGCGAACAUGUACAAGGGCUAACAGACCCGGAUUCAUAUGGGAUCCAUACAAUAUAACAGAAAUCACUUGAACAAAGACAAAAAGAUGCAAGACUUACCAUAGAUAUAUAUAGGAAGAUAUGGUGUGAGUGCCAAUGAGACAACUCUCCAUCCAAAUAACAAUUUAUAAAAGUAAACCAUUAUAGGUCAAUGUACGGCCUUCCACACAGAGCCUUGGCUCACACCGAACAACAAGCUUUAAAGGGCCCAAAAUUACUAGUGUAAAACCAUUCAAGUGGGAAAACUAACAGUCUAUAAAUCUAUAUAAAAAAGCUCUUCAAAAUAGAAAGUGAGAAAGUUGCUGUAACAAGGGAAAAUUGUCUGAUUCCACCUAAACGAUUGUCAAGAAAUAUGCAUGACAGAAGCUUCCAAAUUUCAGCAGAAUUAUAGAAUUACCGGAAAUAUUCCUUCUUUCCACCAACCAUCAAAGAUUGGAACACUCUCCCUCCUGGGGUAAUAUCAGCACCAUCAGUCAAGGCUUUUAAUCCUUCCCUACAGGCAUAUUAAUGAUCCUAUGGGUAAUUACAUUCUAAUACUUUACAGCCCUUGUAAAAAAAUAUGUAAUGUAACCACUUGCUCAGAGAUUAUAUCCUUGGUAAACAAUAGACACCACUUUAUUAAAUGAUACAUUUUGUAUUUGCCUUGGAGAGGUAAGAGGAAGAUGUUGUUAGUGCCCAAGAUGUAUAACCUAUUGACAGUUACAGUUACAGACCGGCAUGUUGAAGCACAGAGUAGACAACAACUCCCUUUUAGAAUGACACACUAGACUGCAUGCCAAUUGAAAUGAAGACAUAAAGUUUCAGAAAGGGCUUUCUCUACGUGGACAAAAAUUCUGUGGCUGAUUAGAAAUGAAGAAAAUAAGAUUUCAGGAAGAAAAACAACACUAUUUUUUAUGACAGGUGUAUCAAUUAAUCAACUAAUGAAAGUGGUGUAAAGAUCAAAUGGUUUACAUGCAGUCAGUGAUCGGAAAGGACUUGCGCCCUGCGCCUAUAGCACAUAUCGACCAGAAAUGGCGCAUAGAGUGAACAAUGUAAGGGCCCACGUGGCGCUCGAUAUUUUUCACUUCAUUUCGAAACAUUUAGAUAUCGUCAAAUGGAUUUCUGAUCGUACUAUAUUGUGUUCCUUGCCGCCAUGUGUGUGUACACAACUGUGUAAUGUUCCUCCAAUAUAGAGCACCUAUAUAAUUUUUGGGACGUCCGGGUGUUUUUAGGUAAUAAUAAACCAUGCGGUAUAACGAUUCCAAAAAAUCGUAAUUAACCAUCAUUCAUGAUAAUUUUUAUAACAACUUUAAAUUGAUUUGUCUAGUACAGACAAGAUUUUUCUAACAUAGUCUUUUAAGUUAGCUUAGCUUACUAUAUUCGAUUGAAAAACCAAAGCCUUUUCAUGAUAUAGUUUUUUGUCUCCAUAAAAAGGUGCUUAACUUUCUUGUCAUUUUUUGGUCUUUGGCUCGUUUGACAUUUUUAAACAUACUUCAGCGAAUUAUUGUUUGUUCUAUAAUUAAUAUACUCUCUACUGUUAUUCUUGUCAUCGUGAUGAAGUAAUGAUAAUACAAGAAGUGCAGAGGAAAUGCCAGAAACAUCUUCUAAAUACAAAGCGUCUGGAAUAAGUAUGGUAUCGACGAAGACCCAAAUUUAAUGUAAAAAAAAACAAGAACAUGAACAUCAACAUACCAGUUUUAACAUUGUAAACAAAGGUUCUCUUAAAUGUUGUCCGGUUUGGAAGAAGUUAUUGUAUAUUCAUUGAAAUUGAAAUCAAUAAAAUCACAGGAGCAAUAUCCAAAAUAUUAAUUAUAAUCAUAAAGGUAAGUACCACCACCUCUUAGCAUACACUCUUUUUUUUUACUGUAGUCAAUUCAAAUGGCCCACUCAUUUGACAACAUGGCCCAUUGAAUUUAUUUUUUGGGGGCCCUGGGCCCAUUGAGAAAAAAUCCUUCCAGAUCACUGGCAGUAAACUUCAUAUAUUUCCUCUAGAAAAUAUCAAAUGAGGCAAACACUUACAGGCCUAAGGAUAGUAAAACCUUUCUAUUACUGUGGUAAAAUUUAUUUUUGUGAGUAUCAAUAUCACCUGGAUUCAGAAACAUUUGUAUUUUCCUGGAUAUUAGAUUUCAUGGUUUUUACAAACUCUGCAUACAAAGCCUGUAGAAAAUUUGUACUUAUUUGAAUAUUUGAAUUGGUGGUUACCUGUACCCACCAAACCGACAAAAAUUGGUAUUAAAUGAAUAAUAAUGAAGCCUCAGCAAUGCUCAGUAACUGUCAUUAUAAUAUUUGAACAUAAACAGCAAUUAGUUUAUGAAUGUUAUAUAUUCUUGCAGUUGCAAUUAGACUUCAGUUCUGGUAAACUGAAACCUGGACUAAAUGUAGCUCUGCCAGCCAGUAUAGAAAAACAUUAUAUCAACGAUGUGG
This 4723-nucleotide long non-coding RNA is filed under the name Mytilus galloprovincialis (Mediterranean mussel). Lineage: Eukaryota; Metazoa; Mollusca; Bivalvia; Mytilida; Mytilidae. The record is from RNAcentral.